CUAUUGAAACAAAAAGUAGAUCAGUCUGGUUGCCUAGAGUUAUUGGAGCAGGAUUGGGAGAAAAUGGGAAAAUGAGGAGUGAUUGCUAAUGGAUGUGGGGUUUCUUUUUCAGGUGAUGAUAUAAUUGUUCUAAAAUUGUAGCAAUGGCUGCACAACACUGUGAAUAUACUAUAAGCCAUUGAAAUUUACUUUUGAUUGUUUGAACUAUUUGGUAUGUGAAUCCUAUCUCAAUGACCACAAAGCUUUUCAGCCAUUAAAAUAUUUAAUCAAAGAGGCAAGCAGGAAGCUUAAGAAUAGUUCAACUCUGAAAUCUGAGGAAAAAACUGUGAAGUCAGUUCAUUUGCAUUCUCUUUGGUUAUAAUAAAUCAAAAACGCUAAUACAAAAGAAAAGAAUGAAAUUAAAGAGAAGCGCUCUCCACUGCUGUCCUCUUCAGCUCAACAUGGUGGCCUACCGGGUGACUGGCAACCUCAGUCACUUCUCUGCCUUCAGAAUCCUCCACUCCAGAGGUUACAUAUGCCGCAAUUUUAUAGGGUCUUCUGCUUUGCUGACCAGAACUCAUAUUAACUAUGGAUCAAAGAGUAUGUGGCAGUGAUUCAAAUUAACUCUCCCAAUUCAAAGGUAAUACACUGAAUAAAGAGCUGCAUUCAGAGUUCAUAGAUGUUAUGAAUGAAAUCUGGGCUAAUGAUCACAUCAGAAGUGCCGUCCUUAUCUCAUCAAAGCCAGGCUGCUUUAUUGCAGGUGCUGAUAUCAACCUGUUAGCUGCUGCAAGAUCCCUCAGAAGUAACACAGACAUCACAAGAAGCGUAGAGAACAUUUGAGAAAGGAAAAGUCCACAAACCCUGUUGUAGCUGCCAUCAGUGGAUCCUGCCUGGGAGGAGGACUUGAGCUUGCCAUUUCCUGCCAAUACACAAUAGCAACAAAAGACAGAAAAGCAGUAUUUGGUGCCCCUGAAGUCUUGCUGGGUAUCUUACCAGGAGCAGGAGGCACACAAAGGCUGCCCAAAAUGGUGGAUAUGCUUGUUGCUUUUGACAUGAUGCUGACUGGUCGAAACAUUAAUGCAGACAAGGCAAAGAGAAUGGGACUGGUUGACUAAUAGGUGGAACCCGGGGCCAGGACUAAAACCUCCAAAGGAACGGACAAUCGAAUACCUAGAAGUUGCAAUUACUUUCGCCAAAAGACUGGCUGAUAAGAUCUCUGCAAAGAGAGAUAAAGAAUUGGAGAUUGGUGGGAAAACUGACAGUGUACACCAUAGCUAUUCCGUUUGUCAGGCAACAGAUUUACAAAAAAGUGGAAGAAAAAGUGUGAAACAGACUAAAGGCCUUUAUCUUGCACCUCUGAAAAUAAUUAAUGUGGUCAAGACUGGAAUUGAGCAAGGGAGUGAUACCGGUUAUCUCUCUGAAUCUCAGAAAUUUGGAGAGAUUGCAAUGACCAAAGAAUCAAAGGCUUUGAUGGGACUCUACCGUGGUCAGGUCCUAUGCAAGAAGAAUAAAUUUGGAGCUCCACAGAAGGAUGUUAAGCAUCUGGCUAUUGUUGGUGCAGGGCUGAUGGGAGCAGGCAUCACCCAAGUCUCCAUGGAUAAGGGGCUAAAGACUAUACUUAAAGAUGCCAUACUCACUGGGCUAGGCCGAGGACAGCAACAAGUGUUCAAAGGAUUUAAUGAUGAAGUGAAGAAGAAAGCUCUAACAUCAUCUGAAAAAGAUUCCAUCUUCAGCCACUUGACGGGCCAACUUGAUUGCCAAGGUUUUGAAAAGGCCAACAUGGUGACUGAAGCUGUGUUUAGGGACCUUAGUCUUAAGCACAGAGUGCUAAAGGAAAUAGAAGCGGUGAUUCCAGGUCACUGUGUUUUUGCCAGUAACACAUCUGCUCUCCCAAUCAGUGAAAUUGCUGCUGUCAGUAAAAGACCUGAGAAGGUGAUUGGCAUGCACUACUUCUCUCUCCUAGACAAGAUGCAGCUGCUGGAGAUUAUCACAAUCGAUAAAACUUCCAAAAACACCAGUGCUUCAGCUGUAGCAGUCGGUGUCAAGCAGGGCAAGGUCAUCAUUGUGGUUAAGGAUGGACCUGGCUUCUAUACCACCAGGUGCCUUGCACCCAUGAUGUCUGAAGUCAUCGGAAUCCUCCAGGAAGGAGUUGACCCAAAGAAGCUGGAUUCCCUGACCACAAGCUUUGGCUUUCCUGUGGAUGCCACCGCAGUGGCGGAUGAAGUUGGUGUGGAUGUAGCACAACAUGUGGCGGAAGAUAUGGGCAAAGCCUUUGGGGAGCAGUUUGGAGGUGGAAACCCAGAACUGCUGACACAGAUGGUGUCCAAGGGCUUCCUAGGUCGUAAGUCUGGGAAGGGCUUUUACAUCUAUCAGGAGAGUGGAACGAGUAAGAAUUUGAAUUCUGACAUGGAUAGUAUUUUACUGAGUCUGAAGAUGCCUCCUAAGUCUGAAGUCUCCUCAGAUGAAAACAUCCAGUUCUGCCUGAUGACAAGAUAUGUGAAUGAGGCAGUCAUGUGCCUAUAAGAGGGGAUGUUGGCCAGACAUGCAGAGGGAGACAUCAGAGCCAUCUCUGGGCUCAGCUUCCUGCCUUGUCUUGGAGGGCCUUUCCGCUUUGUGGACCUGUAUGGCACCCAGUAGAUAGCGGACCAGCUCAAGAAGUAUGAGGCUGCCUGUGGAAAACAGUUCAUCCCAUGCCAGCGGCUAGCUGACCACGCUAACAGCCCUAUAAAGAAAUUCUCCCACUGAGCAGGUCUCACGCCUCGCCCGGUCAGUGCACUAACCCCAGCUACCGGCUGUGCUGGUUCUCCAACAGAGUGGUGUCUAGAUUUAUCAAAGGAAAGAAAAGGAAGACAAACUCUGGCAUUGGGAUUGCUCCCUGAUUAAACUGCCUUCAGCCAAGACUACCUCUCCCUCCUGGUGAAGUUUGACUGUGAAUUAGAGUUUGCACUUCCUACUGGAAGGUGGAAUCCACUAUGCUCACUGUAAAAGCCCCAAGGCCUAGAGCGGCAGCUAAGAGCCAUCUGGAGCCAUCUCUGCCUGUUCCUCCCAGGAGGCCAGUGUGGCCAAGGGUGGUGAGGGCAAUUCUGCAUCCAGCCAAACACAUAACAAUAAAAACCAAACUCUGU
Molecule: RNA transcript, 3104 nt
Organism: Sapajus apella (tufted capuchin)
Lineage: Eukaryota; Metazoa; Chordata; Mammalia; Primates; Cebidae
Gene name: trifunctional enzyme subunit alpha, mitochondrial pseudogene
Exons: 1
Source: RefSeq, a predicted model, not a curated record